Molecule: ribosomal RNA, 631 nt
Filed under: Salmonella enterica subsp. enterica serovar Infantis
Lineage: Bacteria; Pseudomonadati; Pseudomonadota; Gammaproteobacteria; Enterobacterales; Enterobacteriaceae
Also listed under: 78 other names
Description: partial 23S ribosomal RNA
Rfam family: Bacterial large subunit ribosomal RNA
Source: RNAcentral
GGUUAAGCGACUAAGCGUACACGGUGGAUGCCCUGGCAGUCAGAGGCGAUGAAGGGCGUGCUAAUCUGCGAUAAGCGCCGGUAAGGUGAUAUGAACCGUUAUAACCGGCGAUACCCGAAUGGGGAAACCCAGUGUGAUUCGUCACACUAUCAUUAACUGAAUCCAUAGGUUAAUGAGGCGAACCGGGGGAACUGAAACAUCUAAGUACCCCGAGGAAAAGAAAUCAACCGAGAUUCCCCCAGUAGCGGCGAGCGAACGGGGAGGAGCCCAGAGCCUGAAUCAGCAUGUGUGUUAGUGGAAGCGUCUGGAAAGGCGCGCGAUACAGGGUGACAGCCCCGUACACAAAAGCGCAUGUGCUGUGAGCUCGAUGAGUAGGGCGGGACACGUGGUAUCCUGUCUGAAUAUGGGGGGACCAUCCUCCAAGGCUAAAUACUCCUGACUGACCGAUAGUGAACCAGUACCGUGAGGGAAAGGCGAAAAGAACCCCGGCGAGGGGAGUGAAAAAGAACCUGAAACCGUGUACGUACAAGCAGUGGGAGCACAGGUUUACCUGUGUGACUGCGUACCUUUUGUAUAAUGGGUCAGCGACUUAUAUUCUGUAGCAAGGUUAACCGAAUAGGGGAGCCGGAGG